UGGCUUUGGCAUCGAUGAAGAACGCAGCGAAAUGCGAUAAGUAAUGUGAAUUGCAGAAUUCAGCGAAUCAUCGAAUCUUUGAACGCACAUUGCACCUAUUAGUAUUCUAGUAGGUAUGCCUGUCCGAGCGUCAUUUCAACCCUCAGAGCGGCUCCGGCCGUCCUGGUGUUGGGGCUCCCCCGGCGGAGACGCCGCGGGCCCCGAAAGUCAUCGGCGGUGCCUGCCAGCACUCCGGGCGCAGUAAAAAAUCUCGCCUUGGACGUCUGGCGGCGCCUGCCGCUAAACCAGCUGCGCCGAGAGGCGCUGCAUACCCACAGGUUGACCUCGGAUCAGGUAGGAAUACCCGCUGA
This 350-nucleotide unclassified non-coding RNA is filed under the name uncultured fungus. RNAcentral describes it as "partial contains 5.8S ribosomal RNA and internal transcribed spacer 2". The stretch from base 1 to 133 matches the Rfam family "5.8S ribosomal RNA", at positions 22 to 154 of the family's 154-position model. The record is from RNAcentral. Lineage: Eukaryota; Fungi.